AUCCAUGUCUGCUGGAGAAUAGUGCAGGCCUUCUUUGCUGCAGUGGAACAGUACACAUUUUGUCCACCAAAACUCUCCAAUCCUUUACUGGAAACUUCUGAGCUGAGUAGUCCAGACAGAUUUUACUACACCUCACUGUCCACUUACGUAGACAAUACUUCAUUUGUGUUUCAGUGAGUAUGCUAUGGGAGAGAGUGUCAAAAACAUUAAAGUUAAGAUAAUCAUCAUUCACUGGUAUCUUUUAUGUCCACCAAACCAGUAAUCUCAGUGCAGAAGGUAUCCAGUUGGUCAAGUAUUAUGUCCUUUUGGAAACCUAUGCCAACUUCUCCCAGUCAUCUUCUUGUCCUUCUUAUGUUUGGAAAUGGAUUCCAGGAAGAUUGCUCUAUCACAUUUGCAGGGACUGAGGUGAGGUGUACCAGACUGGAGUUCUCUGGAUUCUUCUUCUGACUUUUGUCAAAGAGAACAGCAGUGUCUACUUUCGUACAGUCCCAUGAAAUCUUCUGAAGGCCAUUCUAUCAUUUUAUGAUGCUGUUACAUGAAGAUUUUCAAGAAAUUCCUGUGGCAUGACAGCUCCUCCCUGGUCUGGGUAUGUGGGAAAGCCUUGAAAAGGUCAGUCUGCAUACACCCCAUUCAUACAUCUGCUACUGGUACGGAGACAAAAUAUUGAACGUUGGAAGUGGAACCAUAAACUCAAUGGGCUAUUCAUGAGGGGAAGAGGGAAAGUGGUUGGUUUUUUUUUGUUUUUUUUUUUUCCCCUUUGUUACAGUAGACCUGUGCUCAUGUCACUCAAAGAUGAGUACAGUGAAACACCAGCUCCAACAUGACAGCCCUGGCUGAUAGUGCCAAACAUUGCAGUGCUCUAUGUAAUGACUUGGCUUGAUAUCUGAAAAGAAAAAAGAAAACAUUUAUCAGUUUCUUUUCCUUUCUAUUCUUGGACCGUCUAGUUUUUUCAGAAUUUUAGAGAGGUUUCUUUGACAUAGUCUGUAAGACGCUUUUUGUGGAUGGCCCUUUAUACUUAAAUGAAAUCUGUAAAUUCAUCUGAAUUUUGAACAAGCAAAGCCGCUGGGAAAUUCUAACAUCACUGUAAUAUCUCUGGUGAAGUCUUGUCUUGUUUAGGCUGUACAAAAAUAUUCCCUAAACAAGAAGAAGAAGGACCCAUGUCUGCAUUGUGCCUGGAUAAACUUAAUUUUAUGUGGAAGUAGAAAAUAACUAUUUUUGAAUUACUAAUGACAAAAGUGAAUUAUGAACUCUCAUUUUUUUCCUAAGUUUUUGUUAUUGAAGUGUGAAAGGCUGGAAAGGCUGGUGCAUACACUGUGAAAGUGGAUGCAUGUAAUGACUCAGUUUGACUAGAUGAUGGGAAUUUUAAAAUGAAAGAUGAUGACGUUAUUCUUCUUCAUCACUUCAGCUGGAGAAAAGGCAUCACAGCACAGGCUAAACCAAUGUGGUUUUAUGGGACCAUGGCUUAUCAGAUUUGCAAAAUGUCUGUGAUGACCAGAUAGGCAAACACAGGCCUAAAGACAUAAAGAUGAUUCCUGAGGGAGAGGAGGGGCCAAAUGCAGUGAGGACUGCGCAGAAGAAAAGCAGUUUGAGAGCUUUCUCUUUUCCAUGAAACAUUCAAGAACAUUUUAAGUUACAUGCCACUGCUUUGGAGAAUUAACUCAGAGGAGGCACUGUUAGCUCUGCAGACUAGCAAAAAACCCCAAAGAGAUGAGGAUAUUCAGAUCCUGGGGACACCAACCAACAACUUGGGUCAAACUUCCUUAAGAAACAGAACUGGAGGAGAAGAAAUAAAUUCAGUUUCCCAGUAAUCUAGCAUGGCUUUUUAACGAUGUAUAUGUGGGAAGAGGCAUCUUUAAAAGUUCUCUGGAAAUAAACAUUUAAUCCAUUAUUAAAACAGUCAGUAGUCUGAGUAACUGUUACUCUUGUUGUCAGGAAUAAUUUAGUAAUUUAGCAUUGUGUCUGUUGUCAACUUGUGGUAAAAGAAGGUUGAGUUGAAGAUAGUUGUCAGUGACACAAAGAGCAGUGAACUGUACAGCAGGAGUACUAAAGAAACGCUUUUGUAAGUGUCAAACAGCAAAGUUCCUUCUGACAAAGAUGGAGACCUCACCACCAGCACUUCGUGUCUUCUUUUCAAAGGAAGUUUUUCACACAGAGGGUGGUGACGCACUGGAACAGGUUGCCCAAGGAAGUUGUGGAUGCCCCAUCCCUGGAGACGUUCACUGAGUGGGUUUCAUCUCAUGCUGAAAUGAAUAUUCCCAUUACAGUUUCCUGUUGCUAACAAAAGUAAAUAGGCACUUUGAAUAUCUAUUGAAGACAAACUGUGCUUCCCAAGUCUCCUUUUAUCUCUGAUGUUAAUCAAGGAAAUACAGAUAACUGGUGAAGGUUUAAUACAGCAUUUACAGUCAGCAACAUUCUUCAUCAACGGGACAUUGCUUCAAAGCCUUAAUAAAAUCGCUUGGGAUGUUUAAAAAGAUCUCACUCCUACUCAAUUUAUUUUGGAACACAAUAAAAGAAAAAAAAUCUUACUAGACCAGAAAAGAGACAGUAAAAAUAUGCUUAUUCCAGAUCAAGUGACAUCAUGGAUAAGCCUUCUAGCAAGUCUAAUAGGGAAGACCAGGAAGUAUUCAACUAUGGCUUCCCAGCACCCAAAGGACAGAGUCAUUUGAUGCACCUGAGCUUCUUGUGACAAAAGAGGGCUGGAGUAUGUGGCUGAGGAAUUUGCUCGCAGUCCUGUUUUCCUCACAUACCCACCGCAGACAUGGAAUUUUAGCUCAUUUGUUUCUGGCAUCAACCUGUAGCUGUAGCAACAAGUUUCAGGAGUGUUUCCCGGUGGUCUUCUUGAACCAGAAGAGAGAAGUGCUUAGCUCUGCUAAGGGGAGUUUUGCCUCCUAAAGCUGCAGUUGCAGUAAGAAAUAUUUAUUUAUUUUGUUCAAUUAUCAAUUUGGCAAAUGUAUUUCUCUCUCCAAACUGAUUAGUUUCUUUGUCUUAUAGCUACAAAAGCAAAUUAUAUUCUCAAGUUUAACAUUCAGAUUUUUCAACACCCCAGGCUUAAGAUCCUCUUCCCAAGGGAUCACUGUUUAGCAGUUAAUAUCAGCGGUAGGAAGAUGGUUGGAAUGGAUGACCGUAGAGGUCUUUUCCAGCCUUCAUUAUUUUAUUAUCAGAAUGUCACAGGAGCUGAGACUACAUGGCUGUAAAUCCUAAGCAGAAGAAAGACCUUCCCAGAAGUGCACCAUAAGGCAUCUAAACAACUAUGUCAAGAAGGGCUUGGCCUGAAGAACUCUUUAAUGUGUUUUCCAUUUCCAGUCACUUAUAAAUGAAAAUCUGCCUCAUCAUAUGCCCACAUUCCUAUGCUAAUGUUUCUGAAUCUCCCUAUUUAACAAAUGUUCCUCCACUCCAACUGUCCUGGACCUUAGAUUUGAAUCUAGGAAAGGAUCUGAAAGAACAUACAUAUGCACUCUGUCAGAAGCAGGACAUGCUGAUUCCAUGGUUUGCAUCUGGAGCAGCUGGCUGGGAAACCAUAAGCAAGUCAUACUUUCCACAUGUGAGCUGCAAUCUACAUCUGGCAUCUGGAGAAUUUGUCAUCUUGUUGCUCUUUCCAGAUGCAGCCAAGACAGUGACUGGGAUUUGAAAAGUUUUCAGGUUCUCUAAGGAUGUUGCUAGGAAGCAGGAAGAGGAUUCUGCCUUGCUGAAAACAAAAACCACAGGAUAAAAAGGAUAAUAAAAAGUAAAGCGUGGGACAAAAAGGACAGUAGAAACCUUUGCAUGAACCAUUUUUGGGUCAGUGAGACAGUACAUUUAUCACAUACAACAGAAUGGCAAAAGAAGUGGGUAUCAAAGGUGCUUCUAAAUCCUGAAGAAAAAAUAGCUUUCGGACUAUGUCAAAGGGCAGACAAAGGAAGAAAGCCUUUACUUUACUUUUUUCCUUGUAAAAUUUCCUUCAACUCUAUGUGAUGUGUAGAAACAAGUUGAUAUUGAUAUAAAAGCUAAUCGAUCCCCAAAUAUCACUCAAUUAUUUUGCUGUUCUCUUUGUACAUGAUAUAGGUUACAUACAUAUUCAUAGAUGAGCAGUAUAUAUUGUAGAAAAUGAGGGCAUUAUAAACUAUGAAAGCUGUGACCUAUUGUACUCCUGUCACUUAAUGAAGCAGUUAUUAAAAUAUAGCUGUGUAGUUUAUUAACAAUUUUAUACAUGAGAUCUUAACCCAAUACGUGAUGCCCUGCCUUAUAAGGAGUGCAUUUGUUCAACACUGUUCUGCAGUAUUUCAAAUAGAAUCUUUUUCACCUAAGUUGUCUUAAAAUGAGGACUAUUUCUGUCGAACAAUAAUAACCAGGUACAAGCACUGUCAGUUUGAAACACAGUGAAUCAAAAAGAGUUAAAAUGGAAUUUUACCGCUACCCGCCAGUAUUUCUGCUAUAUUUAUGGAUUUUAUUGUUAAAAUAAAACUUGAAGGGAACAAGGGAUUUGACUGAUUUUCUUUUUGCCACCUAUUAAUCCUGCAAUAGAUUUUGAAGGAUAUAUUCAGACAAGAGGAACAAUUAAAUGCCAAAAUGCUCUCAAUAACACAAAGAAAAUCUAUAAAUAGUAUUUUGAGUCUCUUUCAGUUACAGCAAAUGAUAACGAGAUAGUUGGAAUAUUUUCAAAGAGGGCUGUUUUGGUUUGUUUGCUUUUAUUGCUAGAAAUGUCCCUUUAACAUUCUAAUCUAAAAACGAAUUAUGCACAUUUUCUCACAGCUAAGAAGAACGAGAUGAAUUUUAAGGAAGUUGUUAGUGUCAGGAAAGCUUAUUCUGGCUUUGUCAUGAAAAGGUAGUAUGGCUGACAGUUUGCUUUGUGCUCUUGUUUUUUUGUUCUCUUCAGUGUUAUUGUGAGUUAAUGGGUGAAAACAAGAUCUGUAACACUGCUUUAAUAUAGAUUUUACUUGUUAUUUAAUGUACUUUGAAAAAACAGAAAAUACUACUCUCUCCAAACACAUGAAUCAUACCUGUGUGAUACUGUCUGAUUGCUGAUCCAGGGAACACUUUGUUAUGCUAAAGUUCCUCUACUGAGAUCUUAACAGAAGGUCGCAAGACUGCUGAUUACUGUGAGCUGUGGUUUGAUGGGCUGAUUAUUCUACUUAGAUAGUUGAUACAACUAAACUUAUUUCACCUAAAAUUCUAGCCUGUGUUUCACUUUUUACCUAGCAAAAUAUCAGCUUUCUUUUCAUUGAAGAAUUUUUGAAAAUGUGUGAGUUUUUUUAAAUACAAAUUCCCAGGUGCCAACUUGAGGUUUACCUCUAGAAUUUAUCUCUAGAAAAUUUUGUUCAAGUACUGAAUACAUGCACUGCUGCUGAGGGCUACAGAUGGGUUGACCCACCAAAUUGGAAAGAUACGGAUUUGAUAGGUGGACUGUUUCAUGGAUGAGGAGCUCAUUGUGAGUUUGUAUCCAAAGUGCUGGUUAGUGGCUCAGUGUCUGGAUGGAAAUUCUGCGGCAAGUGGCAUCUUUCAGGGAUCACUCCUUGGACCAGUGCUCUUUAAUAUCUUCAUCACUGACACUGACAGUUGGAUCAAGUGUCUCCUCAGCAAGUCUGCUGAUGACACCAAGCUGUGGGGUACGGUUGGCACACCAGAAGGAUGGAGUGACAUCCAGAGGGAUCUAGACAACCUUGAGUAAAGGUCAUGGAAGAAUGUCAUAAUGUUCAACAAAUUCAAGCACAAGGUCUUCUACCUAGGUCAAGGCAACAUCCACUAGCAAUGAAAGCUGGGGAAUGAAAACUCUGCCAGCAGCCCUGUCAAAAAGGACCUGGGGGUACUAGUGUUUGGGAAGUUGGACAUAGGCCAGCAAUGUGCCCUCACAGCCGAUAAUGCCAUCUGUAUCCUGGACUGCACCAAAAGAAAGAUGACCAGCAGGGUGAGGGGUGUGAUCUUGUCUCUCCUCUCUAUUAUGGUGAGGCCUCACCUGGAGUACUCCAUCCAGAUGUCUUCAGUGCGGGAGAGAUGUGAACCUGUUGGAGUGCAUCCAGAGGAGGGUCACAAGAAUGACAUAAGGGAUGGAACACUUCCCUAUGAGGACAGGAUGAGAGAGAUGGGGUUGUUUAGUCUGGAGAAGGCUCCAGGAAGACCUGAGAAUGGCCUUGCGGUAUUGAAAGGGGAACUAUAAGUAAGAAGGGGACAGACUCUUUAGUGGGAUCUGCCAAUAUAGGACAAGAGGAAAUGGAUUCAAACUAAAAGAGGGGAGAUUUAUAUGAGAUAUAAGGAAGAAAUUUUUUUAAGAUAAGGGGAGUGAGCUACUAAGGAACAGAUUGCCCAGGGAGAUGGUGGAUGCCCCA
Molecule: long non-coding RNA, 6299 nt
Organism: Coturnix japonica (Japanese quail)
Lineage: Eukaryota; Metazoa; Chordata; Aves; Galliformes; Phasianidae
Source: RefSeq, a predicted model, not a curated record